Molecule: long non-coding RNA, 1687 nt
Organism: Ostrea edulis (European flat oyster)
Lineage: Eukaryota; Metazoa; Mollusca; Bivalvia; Ostreida; Ostreidae
Exons: 3
Source: RefSeq, a predicted model, not a curated record
UAAACAAAGAGAAAAGAGGGAACGAAGCAAAAGACAAUAAAUCGAAUUUUCAAAAAAGAUUCGAUAUUACUUUAAGACAUGGUAUUGCAAAUCAGUGCCAAAGAGGAGGUAACUUCACCAAGGUCACGGAGUACAAGCUGUGGAAUGUAAACAAAGAGAAAAGAGUGAACGAAGCAAAAGACAAUAAACCGAAUUUUCAAAAAAGAUUCGAUAUUACUUUAAGACAUGGUAUUGCAAAUCAAUGUAAGAGAUGACGAAAUAUCUAAUAAAUAACUCAUGCGGUGUCAUAUUCUUGCUAUAGUACAUGAUUGGGAUGAAAAUAAUUUGAAAAUUAUCUAUUAAUUAAAUGCUUGUUUAAGAUAAACGGACGAUGAUUAAACAACAAAGAAGCAAUAUUUUAAUUCACAUCUAGAACAUUGCAAUAUCUACGUUUUUAAUGAUAUUUCAAGAAGGUCAAUAAAUAUAAUGCGUGUCUAAAAACAAGUUGUUUCUUUAAAAUGUUAAGUGUAUGCAUAAUCAUAAUUAUUUAAGAUGUAUAUUGAUCACAAAAAUUGCUGGAAACACAUAAAACGAAUGAAACAUGAAGCUGUAACAGACUUCACAGCAAUGACAGCUAGGCAAAUUUUUGAAACCAUCAAGUGCCGAUCAUCUUAUCAGUAAAGUUAUCAGGAUUGCAUGGAGGCUAACAUCCACUAAUUACAGUUAGACUUAGACAGAUAUAAUGUGCAAUAUGAUUGCUAAGAGAAAGAUAAAGUUUAUUAAUUCUAAAAGACGAUUAGCUAAAAAGAAUUUCCAUUGUUUUUGUAUGGAUGUCAAACUAUUUCAACAGCAUAAACGUUGGAAUAUCCAUAGAUAUCAUUUUGAUAACAAAUUAAUAAUUGAUACUUACACGUAUUCAAAAAGACUAAAGGAUAGUUUAAUAAGGAAUAUCUAAAUAUUACAUUGAUGUUGUCAAUACUUUAUGUAGAUUAUGUCUAUCGUAAAACAGAAAAAAGAUUAUUUUGAUUAUGAUGAGCAUUAGAAUAUGACAUUCAUACGAACGAUUUCCUUCAUUAGAAUACAAAAUUUGUCAAGUGUUAAUUUUGCUAUUGUUUUUUCCCGUAGGCCAAAGAGGAGGUAGCUUCACCAAGGUCACGGAGUACAAGCUGUGGAAUGUAAACAAAGAGAAAAGAAUGAACGAAGCAAAAGACAAUAAACCGAAUUUUCAAAAAAGAUUCGAUAUUACUUUAAGACAAGGCCAAAGAGGAGGUAACUUCACCAAGGUCACGGAGUACAAGCUGUGGAAUGUAAACAAAGAGAAAAGAGUGAACGAAGCAAAAGACAAUAAACCGAAUUUUCAAAAAAGAUUCGAUAUUACUUUAAGACAUGGUAUUGCAAAUCAAUGUAAGAGAUGACGAAAUAUCUAAUAUAUAACUCAUGCGGUGUCAUAUUCUUGCUAUAGUACAUGAUUGGGAUGAAAAUAAUUUGAAAAUUAUCUAUUAAUUAAAUGAUUGUUUAAGAUAAACGGACGAUGAUUAAACAACAAAGAAGCAAUAUUUUAAUUCACACCUAGAACAUUGCAAUAUCUACGAUUUUAAUGAUAUUUCAAGAAGGUCAAUAAAUAAUGUGUGUCUAAAAACAAGUUGUUUCUUUAAAAUGUUAAGUGUAUGCAUAAUCAUAAUUAUUUAAGAUGUAUAUUGACCACAAA